AUCCCGUUUCCCGAGUUCCAAGAAUUCUGCACCAAUGACUGCAAGACAAUAUGCAACGCAAGUUCCUGAGGAGCUGGUGUCUGUCUGCAGCAGUCAUUAGGCAGGACAUACCACAGCUGUGUGGCGCAGCCAAGACAGGAGCAAUGAUUCAGAGGAACAGAUAUGCCAGGAGGAAGACAACAAAGAUGAAAGAGAAACGGGAGAGGGAAACGUAAACAGGGGGAAUGUGGUGAAGAAGCGCCACAGAGCCAAGCAGGAAAACUUCUCUCCUAUUCACCCGACUUGCUCCAUCUGUUUGG
This is a long non-coding RNA of Xiphophorus maculatus (southern platyfish), 299 nucleotides long. RefSeq lists it as uncharacterized. NCBI's taxonomy places the organism in Eukaryota, Metazoa, Chordata, Actinopteri, Cyprinodontiformes, Poeciliidae. The record is from RefSeq and is a predicted model, not a curated record. The transcript has 3 exons.